This 769-nucleotide ribosomal RNA is filed under the name uncultured bacterium. Its description in RNAcentral is "bacterial SSU rRNA". It matches the Rfam family "Bacterial small subunit ribosomal RNA", at positions 8 to 796 of the family's 1533-position model. The record is from RNAcentral.
AGAGUUUGAUCAUGGCUCAGGAUAAACGCUGGCGGCGUGCCUAACACAUGCAAGUCGAACGCUCUUGAGAGGGCAACUUCUCAAGGGAGUGGCGGACGGGUGAGGAACACGUGGGUUAUCUACCUUGAGGUGAGGAAUACCGGCGAGAAAUCGCCGACAAUACCGCAUACGUUUGGAAACAAACAAAGUCCCGGGCGACCGGGACGCCACAAGAUGAGCCUGCGCCCGAUUAGCUAGGUUGGUGGGGUAAAAGCCUACCAAGGCGACAAUCGGUAGCUGGUCUGAGAGGACGAUCAGCCACACUGGGAUUGAGAACGGCCCAGACUCCUACGGGGGGCAGCAGUGAGGAAUUUUCGUCAAUGGGGGCAACCCUGAACGAGCAACGCCGCGUGCAGGAAGAAGGUUUUCGGAUCGUAAACUGCUUUUCUUGGGGAAGAGAAACGGACGGUACCCAAGGAACAAGCCCCGGCUAACUACGUGCCAGCAGCCGCGGUAAUACGUAGGGGGCAAGCGUUGUCCGGAUUUAUUGGGCGUAAAGCGCACGCAGGCGGUCUUGUGAGUUUCGAGUGACAGGUGGUGGCUCAACUGCCACAGGCCUUGGAAAACGGCAAGACUUGAGGACUUCAGAGGGAGGCGGAAUUCCAGGUGGAGCGGUGAAAUGCGUAGAGAUCUGGAAGAACACCAAAGGCGAAGGCAGCCUCCUGGGAAGUAUCUGACGCUCGGGUGCGAAAGCUAGGGGAGCGAACGGGAUUAGAUACCCUAGUAGUCC